CUGUUCUCUGCGCACCGAAACUCCCCGUUGAGAACUCAGCGCUCCCACGCUCCCCGCUUUUCCACUCAUUGCAACAGUGUGGACUCCACUUUUCUUCCCUCCCCCAGUUUUGGGGAAGAAAAAGUCUCUGUUUUUAGGCUUCGGAGUGAAUCUGUCUGAGGACAUCAGAAACAUAACUAUUUCGUGGAAAACCAGUGAUUUGCCUAGCUUAGACGGACUUGUUCGGCUAAUUACAGGCAGGACGGGCUGCGGUUUGGAAAAGCGGGAUUCUCCCAGCGCCAACUGGCCCUUCUCCGGAGCCCGACCUUCCGCAGGGGCCUUGCCAGGUGCCCUGCCUGUGUUCCCACUGUCCCGGUGUUCUCACAGUGAGAAACUGAAAGGAACCAAAAGCAAACCACCUGUCUCACAGUUAAACCACGCCGUUUCCCCGUAAAUUUAUGAAAUAAAAUUCUUAUCUUUUCCA
Molecule: long non-coding RNA, 463 nt
Filed under: Rattus norvegicus (Norway rat)
Lineage: Eukaryota; Metazoa; Chordata; Mammalia; Rodentia; Muridae
Description: long non-coding RNA NONRATT029970
Source: RNAcentral